Molecule: long non-coding RNA, 1103 nt
Filed under: Phasianus colchicus (ring-necked pheasant)
Lineage: Eukaryota; Metazoa; Chordata; Aves; Galliformes; Phasianidae
Description: lncRNA (ENSPCLG00000017596.1)
Source: RNAcentral
GGGUCAUAUGGGGUCUCUAUGGGUUUCUAUGGGAGGCUAUGGGGGACUAUGGGGUCAUAUGGGGUCGUAUGGGGUCUCUAUGGAAGUCUAUGGGAGUCUAUGGGUUUCUAUGGGAGUCUAUGGGGGACUAUGGGGUCCUAUGGGCUCUUAUGGGGUCAUGUGGGGUCAUAUGGGGUCCUAUGGGGGCUUAUGGGGUCCUAUGGGGGCUUAUGGGGUUGUAUGGGGUCGCUAUGGGAGUCUAUGGGGUCCUAUGGGGGACUAUGGGGUCUUAUGGGGUCUUAUGACGUCUCUAUGUGUCCUGUGGGGGACUACGGGGUCUUAUGGGGUCGUAUGGGGUCAUAUGGGGUCUCUAUGGGAGUCUAUGGGUCUCUAUGGUUUCUGUAGGAGUCUGUGGGUCUCUAUGGGAGUCUAUGGGGUCGUAUGGGGUCAUAUGGGGUCGUAUGGGGUCCUAUGGGGUCGUAUGAGGGUUUAUGGGGUUCUAUGGGUCUCUAUGGGAGUCUAUGGGUAUCUCUGGGAGUCUAUGGGGUCUUAUGGGGUCAGAUGGGGUCCUAUGGGGUCCUAUGGGGUCCUAUGGGGUCUUAUGGGGUCUCUAUGGGGUCCUAUGGGGUCCUAUGGGGGCUUAUGGGGUCUUAUGGGGUCCUAUGGGGUCCUAUGGGGUCUCUGUUGGAGCUUAUGGGGUCCUAUGGGGGCUUAUGGGGUCCUACGGGGGCUUAUGGGGUCCUAUGGGUCUCUAUGGGAGUCUAUGGGUUUCUAUGGGAGUCUAUGGGGUCCUAUGGGGUCCUCUGGGGGCUUAUGGGGUUGUAUGGGGUCAUAUGGUGUCCUCUGGGGGCUUAUGGGGUCCUAUGGGGUCCUAUGCGGUCUUACGGGGUCGUAUGGGGUCUCUAUGGGAGGCUAUGGGUUUCUAUGGGAGUCUAUAGGGGACUAUGGGGUCCUAUGGGGACUUAUGGGGUCGUAUGGGGUCUUAUGGGGUCUCUAUGGGAGUCUAUGGGUUUCUAUGGGAGUCUAUGGGGUCUUACGGGGUCAGAUGGGGUCGUAUGGGGUCGUAUGGGGUCGUAUGGGGUCUUACGGGGUCUUCUAGUGUCCAACAGGUCUAAUAGGGCCUU